This 275-nucleotide ribosomal RNA is filed under the name uncultured prokaryote. RNAcentral describes it as "partial 16S ribosomal RNA". It matches the Rfam family "Bacterial small subunit ribosomal RNA", at positions 524 to 798 of the family's 1533-position model. The record is from RNAcentral.
UACGUAGGUGGCAAGCGUUAUCCGGAUUUACUGGGUGUAAAGGGCGUGUAGGCGGUUUUGCAAGUCAGAUGUGAAAUCUCCGGGCUUAACCCGGAAACUGCAUCUGAAACUGCAGAACUUGAGUACUGGAGAGGAUAGUGGAAUUCCUAGUGUAGCGGUAAAAUGCGUAGAUAUUAGGAGGAACACCAGUGGCGAAGGCGACUAUCUGGACAGUAACUGACGCUGAGGCGCGAAAGCGUGGGGAGCAAACAGGAUUAGAUACCCCGGUAGUCCCU